GCCCGGGUGGCGGAACAGGUAGACGCAACGGACUUAAAAUCCGUUGGAGGCAACUCCGUGCCGGUUCGAGUCCGGCUCCGGGCACCA
RNAcentral lists this transfer RNA (87 nucleotides) under Sulfurifustis variabilis. Its description in RNAcentral is "tRNA-Leu". It matches the Rfam family "tRNA". From Rfam's summary of the family: Transfer RNA (tRNA) molecules are approximately 80 nucleotides in length. The record is from RNAcentral. Lineage: Bacteria; Pseudomonadati; Pseudomonadota; Gammaproteobacteria; Acidiferrobacterales; Acidiferrobacteraceae.